Long non-coding RNA from Lutra lutra (Eurasian river otter), 352 nucleotides. RefSeq lists it as uncharacterized. The record is from RefSeq and is a predicted model, not a curated record. The transcript has 3 exons. Lineage: Eukaryota; Metazoa; Chordata; Mammalia; Carnivora; Mustelidae.
CAGAAAGAAGCAAUAACUCUGUCCAAGAUGAAGAGAGAUGAGGAUUACAAUAACUAGAAUCAUCAUCAUUAUACAUAUGCGUUUCUGACUAAAAGCCAAUGAAACUAAAUAAGCAGACAAGUAAGGAAUGAGACAGAAGCAUGGCUUCAAUGAUGAAACUGGAGUAACAGUUCCGCAAGCUAAGCUCGGGUAAGCUUCCCUGGCUAAUGAUACUCUGCGCAUAUUCUUACCUAACAAUGUGCCGGGAAGGUGAUACAUCCUGACUUCACAAGGAAAGGACACAGAAAUUCCACAUCUGGGAUCCCCUCAGACCUCAUCCUGGCUGGUGUUGAUUUGUAUCCUUUCUGCCAUA